Molecule: ribosomal RNA, 105 nt
Filed under: Entamoeba moshkovskii
Lineage: Eukaryota; Evosea; Mastigamoebida; Endamoebidae
Description: partial 18S ribosomal RNA
Rfam family: Eukaryotic small subunit ribosomal RNA
Source: RNAcentral
CCUACCGAUUGAAUAAAGAGGUGAAAUUCUAGGAUCUUGCUCUUCGGAGUGGGAAAAUGGAUUUAAAUCUCCUUAUUUAGAGGAAGGAGAAGUCGUAACAAGGUU